AUUGAACGCUGGCGGCAGGCCUAACACAUGCAAGUCGAGCGAGCGGCGGACGGGUGAGUAAUGUAUGGGGAUCUGCCCGAUAGCGGGGGAUAACUACUUGAAACGAUGGCUAAUACCGCAUACUAUCGUAUUAACCCAUAUGGGAUUAGCUAGUAGGGGGGGUAAAGGCUCACCUAGGCGACGAUCGCUAGCUGGUCUGAGAGGAUUAUCAGCCACACUGGGACUGAGACACGUCCCCGACGCCUACGGGAGGCAGCAGGGGGGAAUAUUGCACAAUGGGCGCAAGCCUGAUGCAGCCAUGCCGAGGGUAUGAAGAAGGCCUUCGGGUUGUAAAGUACUUUCAGCGGGGAGGCGUUACCCGCAGAAGAAGCACCGGCUAACUCCGUGCCAGCAGCCGCGGUAAUAC
This 406-nucleotide ribosomal RNA is filed under the name uncultured bacterium. RNAcentral describes it as "partial 16S ribosomal RNA". It matches the Rfam family "Bacterial small subunit ribosomal RNA", at positions 30 to 526 of the family's 1533-position model. The record is from RNAcentral.